CCCGGGGAUAACAGGCUGAUCGCCACCGAGAGUUCACAUCGACGUGGCGGUUUGGCACCUCGAUGUCGGCUCAAUGCAUCCUGGGGCUGAACAAGGUCCCAAGGGUUCGGCUGUUCGCCGAUUAAAGCGUUACGCGAGCUGGGUUUAGAACGUCGUGAGACAGUUCGGUCCCUAUCCUCCACGGGUGUAGGAAGCUUGAGGGGAUCUGUCUUCAGUACGAGAGGACCGAGACGGACGCACCUCUAGUGUACCAGUUGUCCCGCCAGGGGCACCGCUGGGUAGCUACGUGCGGACCAGGAUAAGCGCUGAAAGCAUCUAAGUGCGAAACCGGCCCCAAAACUAGGCUUCCCGACCGAAAGGUCCUCAAGGCCACUCGGAGAUUACGAGUUUGAUAGGCCGCAGGUGUAAGCACAGUAAUGUGUUCAGCCGAGCGGUACUAAUCGGCCGUGCGGCUUCAUUA
This 460-nucleotide ribosomal RNA is filed under the name Candidatus Fermentibacter danicus. Its description in RNAcentral is "partial 23S ribosomal RNA". It matches the Rfam family "Bacterial large subunit ribosomal RNA", at positions 2467 to 2925 of the family's 2925-position model. The record is from RNAcentral. Lineage: Bacteria; Pseudomonadati; Candidatus Fermentibacterota; Candidatus Fermentibacteria; Candidatus Fermentibacterales; Candidatus Fermentibacteraceae.